RNAcentral lists this ribosomal RNA (476 nucleotides) under uncultured bacterium. RNAcentral describes it as "bacterial SSU rRNA". It matches the Rfam family "Bacterial small subunit ribosomal RNA", at positions 335 to 800 of the family's 1533-position model. The record is from RNAcentral.
ACUCCUACGGGAGGCAGCAGUGGGGAAUAUUGCACAAUGGGCGCAAGCCUGAUGCAGCCAUGCCGCGUGUAUGAAGAAGGCCUUCGGGUUGUAAAGUACUUUCAGCAGUUAGGAAGGAUGGGUGUGUUAUAGCAUACCUCAUUUUGACGUUAGCUGCAGAAGAAGCACCGGCUAACUCCGUGCCAGCAGCCGCGGUAAUACGGAGGGUGCGAGCGUUAAUCGGAAUUACUGGGCGUAAAGCGCAUGCAGGUGGUUUGUUAAGUCAGAUGUGAAAGCCCGGGGCUCAACCUCGGAAUUGCAUUUGAAACUGGCAAACUAGAGUACUGUAGAGGGGGGUAGAAUUUCAGGUGUAGCGGUGAAAUGCGUAGAGAUCUGAAGGAAUACCGGUGGCGAAGGCGGCCCCCUGGACAGAUACUGACACUCAGAUGCGAAAGCGUGGGGAGCAAACAGGAUUAGAUACCCUGGUAGGAUAGCGU